GACGAACGCUGGCGGCGUGCUUAACACAUGCAAGUCGAACGGAAAGGCCCUGCUUUUGUGGGGUGCUCGAGUGGCGAACGGGUGAGUAACACGUGAGUAACCUGCCCUUGACUUUGGGAUAACUUCAGGAAACUGGGGCUAAUACCGGAUAGGAGCUCCUGCUGCAUGGUGGGGGUUGGAAAGUUUCGGCGGUUGGGGAUGGACUCGCGGCUUAUCAGCUUGUUGGUGGGGUAGUGGCUUACCAAGGCUUUGACGGGUAGCCGGCCUGAGAGGGUGACCGGCCACAUUGGGACUGAGAUACGGCCCAGACUCCACGGGAGGCAGCAGUGGGGAAUAUUGCACAAUGGGCGGAAGCCUGAUGCAGCAACGCCGCGUGCGGGAUGACGGCCUUCGGGUUGUAAACCGCUUUCGCCUGUGACGAAGCGUGAGUGACGGUAAUGGGUAAAGAAGCACCGGCUAACUACGUG
This 467-nucleotide ribosomal RNA is filed under the name uncultured bacterium. Its description in RNAcentral is "partial 16S ribosomal RNA". It matches the Rfam family "Bacterial small subunit ribosomal RNA", at positions 28 to 507 of the family's 1533-position model. The record is from RNAcentral.